RNAcentral lists this ribosomal RNA (252 nucleotides) under uncultured bacterium. Its description in RNAcentral is "partial 16S ribosomal RNA". It matches the Rfam family "Bacterial small subunit ribosomal RNA", at positions 524 to 776 of the family's 1533-position model. The record is from RNAcentral.
UACGGGGGGGGCAAGCGUUGUUCGGAAUUACUGGGCGUAAGGGCUUGUAGGCGGCCAACUAAGUCCGACGUGAAAUCCCCAGGCUUAACCUGGGAACUGCGUCGGAUACUGGAUGGCUUGAAUUCGGGAGAGGGAUGCAGAAUUCCAGGUGUAGCGGUGAAAUGCGUAGAUAUCUGGAGGAAUACCGGUGGCGAAGGCGGCAUCCUGGACCGACAUUGACGCUGAGGAGCGAAAGCUAGGGGAGCAAACGGG